RNAcentral lists this ribosomal RNA (301 nucleotides) under uncultured bacterium. RNAcentral's name for it is "partial 16S ribosomal RNA". It matches the Rfam family "Bacterial small subunit ribosomal RNA", at positions 509 to 807 of the family's 1533-position model. The record is from RNAcentral.
CAGUCGCCGCGGUAAUACGAAGGGUGCAAGCGUUAAUCGGAAUUACUGGGCAUAAAGCGUGCGUAGGCGGUGAGUUAAGUCUGCUGUGAAAUCCCCGGGCUCAACCUGGGAAUGGCAGUGGAUACUGGCUCGCUAGAGUGUGUCAGAGGAUGGUGGAAUUCCCGGUGUAGCGGUGAAAUGCGUAGAGAUCGGGAGGAACAUCAGUGGCGAAGGCGGCCAUCUGGGACAACACUGACGCUGAGGCACGAAAGCGUGGGGAGCAAACAGGAUUAGAUACCCCCGUAGUCCCUGUCUCUUAUAC